RNAcentral lists this transfer RNA (86 nucleotides) under candidate division TM7 genomosp. GTL1. It matches the Rfam family "tRNA". Rfam says of the family: Transfer RNA (tRNA) molecules are approximately 80 nucleotides in length. Their secondary structure includes four short double-helical elements and three loops (D, anti-codon, and T loops). Lineage: Bacteria; Candidatus Saccharimonadota. The record is from Rfam by way of RNAcentral.
GGGCGAAUGGCGGAAUAGGUAGACGCGCUGGACUCAAAAUCCAGUUCCCGUAAAAGGGAGUGAGAGUUCGAUUCUCUCUUCGCCCA